This 70-nucleotide transfer RNA is filed under the name Planctomycetaceae bacterium. RNAcentral describes it as "tRNA-Trp". It matches the Rfam family "tRNA". From Rfam's summary of the family: Transfer RNA (tRNA) molecules are approximately 80 nucleotides in length. Their secondary structure includes four short double-helical elements and three loops (D, anti-codon, and T loops). Lineage: Bacteria; Pseudomonadati; Planctomycetota; Planctomycetia; Planctomycetales; Planctomycetaceae. The record is from RNAcentral.
ACGAGCGUGCUCCUGGGAGAGCAGUCAGCCUCCAAAACUGACGCACAGGGUUCGACUCCUUGCGCUCGUG